Non-coding RNA from Lupinus albus (white lupine), 303 nucleotides. NCBI's taxonomy places the organism in Eukaryota, Viridiplantae, Streptophyta, Magnoliopsida, Fabales, Fabaceae. The record is from the annotation of a GenBank genome assembly.
CCUCUCCUAAUAUUUUUUGGAGAAUAUGCUCUCCAUCCUUGUCCUAAUUUUAUCAAAUUGAUAUAUGAUUUCCCUUUACCAUAGGUUGUCCCUUCUUGUUGUCAUUCUUAUUGGAGGAUUAAGGAGUAGACCUUGUUCAUUGUUCGCAAUGGUUCCAUGAGUAGAAUUUGGGACUUAAUGAUGUUGUAUUGGUCAUUAAAUCCCUUUAGGAAGCAGAUGAAAUACUCUAUUUCCCUAUAGUUCUUGAUGGUCAUUGAGUCCCUUUAUGGAAGUUUUAACAAUUUUAACAAUAGGGAAGGAUGA